AUUUUUCAGGGAUUUUUUUUCUGGGGUGUUCCAGCAUUAUUUGGGAUUUAUUUGGGGGUUUUUCUUGGGCUGUUCUGGCUUUAUUUGGGAUUUAUUUGGGGAUUUUUCUCGGGCUGUUCUGGCGUUAUUUGGGAUUUAUUUUGGGGUUUUUUUGCCGUUUCUCUGGGCUGUUCUGGCGUUAUUUGGGAUUUAUUUGGGGGUUUUUUUGCUGUUUUUCUGGGCUGUUCCGGCGUUAUUUGGGAUUUAUUUGGGGAUUUUUCUCUGGGCUGUUCUGGCGUUAUUUGGGAUUUAUUUGGGGAUUUUUCUCGGGCUGUUCUGGCGUUAUUUGGGAUUUAUUUGGGGAUUUUUCUUGGGCUGUUCUGGCGUUAUUUGGGAUUUAUUUGGGGAUUUUUCUUGGGCUGUUAUUUGGGAUUUAUUUGGGGAUUUUUCUCGGGCUGUUAUUUGGGAUUUAUUUGGGGAUUUUUCUUGGGCUGUUCCAGCGUUAUUUGGGAUUUAUUUUGGGGGGUUUUUUUGCAGUUUUCUCUGGGCU
RNAcentral lists this long non-coding RNA (529 nucleotides) under Zonotrichia albicollis (white-throated sparrow). RNAcentral's name for it is "lncRNA (ENSZALG00000001142.1)". The record is from RNAcentral. Lineage: Eukaryota; Metazoa; Chordata; Aves; Passeriformes; Passerellidae.